This is a long non-coding RNA of Triticum dicoccoides, 988 nucleotides long. RefSeq lists it as uncharacterized. The transcript has 4 exons. NCBI's taxonomy places the organism in Eukaryota, Viridiplantae, Streptophyta, Magnoliopsida, Poales, Poaceae. The record is from RefSeq and is a predicted model, not a curated record.
GGCUACUGAUUUUGGAAGGCACCCAGAUUUCCGUAAAAAGUUAGAUGUGGAGCAACUAGCAAAAUCUGUUCGUAGUUGGCCCGGUAUCAAAUAUAAUGUUUCAACAUGCAAAUCGAUCCAUAUCCCAGUACAAUCCAUUGAUGAAUUCAUUCUAUUCACAUUGGACCAAGAUACAAGAACAUUAUACAUUUUGGACCCUACUCCUUUUAAUCCAAUAUACCGAACAACCCACUCGCAAAAUAUUUGAAAAAAUUAUAUGGAUUAACGAACACUUACCGAAAGCAAUGUCAAAAGCAUGCCCUGGGUCUAGAUGGAACGAGGAUAUUCUCCUAUGGCAUCAUAAAAUCCUAGAUGAUAUUCCAGUUUACAACAGGGAAUUGUCUGGUUAUCUUGUUCCCCUAUUCAUGUCCACAUGGGAAGAUGAAAGACCACAUUUGCCAUUUUUAAAGGUAAAUAUUGCAACCGUGUAGAUAUUUGCUUUUAUGAUUAUUAUACAUCUAAUGCUGAUGUCAUUCUUUUACAAAAAAAUGAAUGAAUUGGAUGGAUAUGAACUCAAAAAACUAAUUUUGGGCCAAGUGCUAACAUUCAAGGACAAUGAAUGUGAAGAUAACAUGCCUGCUGGUGUAUUGGAAUUCAUCAAUUGUAUUAGGAAAAUCCAAAAUUAAAUUGGGAGCUCAAUCGGUGGAAGGUGAUUUGUCAGAGAGAAUUCUUGCAGCCAACAAUUAAUAGACAAUGAGCAGGGAGACAAUGACAAUUAAUAAUAGAUUUUGGUUUCUACUUAAGAUAUCGCUUACAUAUAUGUAGAAAAACUUUGGAGCUUGCCAGGAUAUAGUUUUUUUGGGGUUACCAAUUAUAAGCGAUGAUGGAGUGCUUCAAAAUUUGAUGUUUGGGGGUUCAAACAUGACAAUACUGUGGAAAUCACAAAUAAUACAGAAUCAUGUACCGUGUUGAUCAAUAAUUAUUUUAUAGUUUGUUUCUAGUGAUUUUA